Molecule: ribosomal RNA, 253 nt
Filed under: uncultured bacterium
Lineage: Bacteria
Description: partial 16S ribosomal RNA
Rfam family: Bacterial small subunit ribosomal RNA
Source: RNAcentral
UACAGAGGGUGCGAGCGUUAAUCGGAUUUACUGGGCGUAAAGGGCGCGUAGGUGGUCAAGCAAGUAAGAUGUGAAAGCCCUGGGCUUAACCUGGGAAGUGCAUCUUAAACUGCUUAACUAGAGUAUGGUAGAGGGUAGUGGAAUUUCCGGUGUAGCGGUGAAAUGCGUAGAGAUCGGAAGGAACGCCAGUGGUGAAGACGACUACCUGGACCAAUACUGACACUGAGGCGCGAAAGCGUGGGGAUCAAACAGG